CCCACCAGUACAUGAAAAUAAGCCUGCCUGCUCUCUGCCUUUCACAUUUUUGUCCGUUGGAUUAUUGUUUGCGCAUCUUUGCAGUUGGGUUAGGGGAGAAAUGCAGGAAAACUAGUCAUCUCCUAGCAGGAUAGGAUUACACCAGGUGUUGACCAUUCUUUGAGACUAUUGAUCAAGAACCCAUUGAUAAACGGGUUGGUCCCUUGUGAAGAUGGAACAAUGAAGAAAACAGAGAAAAGUAUCUGCCAGACAGCUCAGCAGAUGACACUUCCUUGCUGACCAAAAUGCAGACUUUCAUGACGACCCUGACCAGAAAGAUCACCCUGGAGGUGGAGCCCAGAAAUAUCAUCCAGAAUGAAAACCAAGAGCUAGUAUGCAUAGGAAAGGCAAUCCCCAGACCAGCAGAGUGUCAUCUUUGUAGGCAAGCAGCUGGACCAUGGCCACAUGUUUUCUAAUCACAACAUCCAGAGUCAACUUUGCACCUGGACUCCUAUCUGAGGGGAAUUGCCAGCUCGUGAAGUGACCAAGACAACACUCUAACACUCCUGAAGCAAGACAUCAACACAGAGAUCCGUGCCUGGGACUAAAGUAAAAACCAAAACCAAAACCAAAGCAAAACAUGGAAUUUUGCUUUACACGAUGCCUAUGAUAA
Mus musculus (house mouse) is the source of this 652-nucleotide long non-coding RNA. RefSeq annotates it as predicted gene, 31355. Lineage: Eukaryota; Metazoa; Chordata; Mammalia; Rodentia; Muridae. The transcript has 4 exons. The record is from RefSeq and is a predicted model, not a curated record.